GGCAUAUUAAUAAGGGGAGGAAAAGAAACUAACAAGGAUUCCCUUAGUAGCGGCGAGCGAACAGGGAAGAGCCCAGCGCUGAAUCCCCCGGGCCUCGCCCGGCGGGAAAUGUGGCGUUAAGGAGGGUCCGCUAACCCGGACGCCGGCAGCUCGCUCAAGUCCAACUUGAACGGGGCAUCACAGAGGGUGAUAAUCCCGUAGAGCAGACGCUGGCCCUGGGUGGACCUCUCCUCAGAGUCGGUUUGCUUGAGAGUGCAGACCUAAGUGGGUGGUAAACUCCAUCUAAGGCUAAAUAUGACCACGAGACCGAUAGCACACAAGUACCGUGAGGGAAAGGUGAAAAGAACUUUGAAGAGAGAGUUCAAGAGUACGUGAAACCGAACUGGUGUAAACGGACGGAACGGAGAAGUGCGAAGGGGGAGAUUCAAGCCUGCUACCGGCCUGCCCUGGCUCGCUGUGGACGGCGCGGUCCGACCUAACCCCUCGGGGUCUGGAAGGUAACCUCGCUUGCCCGGUGGACUAGGUUCGCGUGGUUGGGAGCGACUGCACUUCUCCCCUUAGUAGCACGUCCCGACUCGUUGGGACUCGGCCUAUGGACCGCAGGAGGCAGACCCGGGAUGCGAAGUGGCUUGUCCGCGGAGCUCCCGGUGACCCUGGGAACACCUGGCGGAGACCCGACGGUAUCGAAUUGCGAUUCGCCGGCUCCUAGAGCCGCCCUGUGCUAGGCUUUCGGGCCGGCACAACUGGGGCAGCAGCGAUCGCGGUCAGGGGCGCAACUGCUCUCUGUAACCGUCCGACCCGUCUUGAAACACGGACCAAGGAGUCUAACAUGUGCGCGAGUCAUUGGGCUUGCGAAACCUAAAGGCGAAAUGAAAGUAAAGGGACAGUUCCGUAAGGACAGUUUCCUGAGCGGUGAUGGCUACGCCCCUGGUGGCUAGCCCGCAACCGCGGGGCGACGGACUGCCGCUUGCGGCGCCGGCGCACCCAGAGCGCACACGUUGGGACCCGAAAGAUGGUGAACUAUGCCCGGCCAGGUCGAAGCCAGGGGAAACCCUGGUGGAGGACCGCAGCGAUUCUGACGUGCAAAUCGAUCGUCGGAGCCGGGUAUAGGGGCGAAAGACUAAUCGAACCCUCUAGUAGCUGGUACCUGCCGAAGUUUCCCUCAGGAUAGCUGGCACGCACUGACCGGAAAAAUGAGCCUGUCUCAUCCGGUAAAGCGAAUGAUUAGAGGCCUUGGGGUCGAAACGAUCUCAACCUAUUCUCAAACUUUAAAUGGGUGAGAUCCCUGCCCUGCCUAGGCGAGGGUGUGGGAUUUAGCCUUGGAAGAGCGUGCCAAGUGGGCCAAUUUUGGUAAGCAGAACUGGCGCUGUGGGAUGAACCAAACGCGAUGUUAAAGCGCCUAAAACGGAGCUUAUGGGACACCAGAAAAGGCGUUGGUUGCUUAAGACAGCAGGACGGUGGCCAUGGAAGUUGGAAUCCGCUAAGGAGUGUGUAACAACUCACCUGCCGAAGCAACUAGCCCUGAAAAUGGAUGGCGCUGAAGCUCCGUGCUUAUACAUCGCCGCCGGGGCAUAAGGUUCGGGGCAACCCGUUCACGAAGCCCCGGUGAGUAGGCAGGCGUGUCGGUGUGCGCAGAAGCGUCUGGGCGUAGGCCCGCGUGGAGCCGCCGGCAGUGCAGAUCUUGGUGGUAGUAGCAAAUAUACCAGAGAGACCCUGGUAGACUGAUGUGGAGAAGGGUUUCGUGUGAACAGCCGUUGCACACGAGUCAGCCGAUCCUAAGCGCUAGGGGAAACCCGAAACAACGCGACGUGCUAACAGAUUUCAUCUUGACGCCGUCCGUUGCGCGAAAGGGAAUCUGGUUCCUAUUCCAGAGCACCGCACCGGAACCGUUCAUCGGGUCCUCGUACUCGUCAGGGUAACCUGAAAUGCCCCGGAGACGCCGUCGGGAGCCCUCGGGAGAGUUAUCUUUUCUGUAUGAGCGAGCGUACUCCCUGGAAGCUUCUAGCAAGGAGAUAGGGAGCGGCUCGCGAAGAGCACCGCACUUGCGGCGGUGUCGAGGGCGUCCUCUCGGACCUUGAAAAUCCGGGUGAGGGCCACGUGGACCUCCGGUCGGUAUCGUACCCAUAUCCGCAGCAGGUCUCCAAGGUGAAGAGCCUCUAGUCGAUAG
This 2167-nucleotide ribosomal RNA is filed under the name Ankothrips yuccae. Its description in RNAcentral is "eukaryotic LSU rRNA". It matches the Rfam family "Eukaryotic large subunit ribosomal RNA", at positions 37 to 1893 of the family's 3401-position model. The record is from RNAcentral. Lineage: Eukaryota; Metazoa; Arthropoda; Insecta; Thysanoptera; Melanthripidae.